RNAcentral lists this ribosomal RNA (253 nucleotides) under uncultured bacterium. RNAcentral's name for it is "partial 16S ribosomal RNA". It matches the Rfam family "Bacterial small subunit ribosomal RNA", at positions 524 to 776 of the family's 1533-position model. The record is from RNAcentral.
GACGUAGGAGGCGAGCGUUGUCCGGAUUCAUUGGGCGUAAAGAGCUCGUAGGCGGCUUGUUGCGUCGGAUGUGAAAGCUCGGGGCUUAACCCUGGGUCUGCAUUCGAUACGGGCAGGCUAGAGUGUGGCAGGGGAGACUGGAAUUCCUGGUGUAGCGGUGAAAUGCGCAGAUAUCAGGAGGAACACCGGUGGCGAAGGCGGGUCUCUGGGCCAAUACUGACGCUGAGGAGCGAAAGCGUGGGGAGCGAACAGG